UACGGAGGGUGCAAGCGUUAUCCGGAAUCACUGGGUUUAAAGGGUGCGUAGGCGGUUGAAUAAGUCAGAGGUGAAAUCUGGUCGCUUAACGAUCAAAUUGCCUUUGAAACUGUUUAACUUGAAUCAGGUUGAGGUUGGCGGAAUGUGACAUGUAGCGGUGAAAUGCAUAGAUAUGUCAUAGAACACCGAAUGCGAAGGCAGCUGGCUAGACCUGCAUUGACGCUGAGGCACGAAAGCGUGGGGAGCGAACAGG
This 253-nucleotide ribosomal RNA is filed under the name uncultured bacterium. Its description in RNAcentral is "partial 16S ribosomal RNA". It matches the Rfam family "Bacterial small subunit ribosomal RNA", at positions 524 to 776 of the family's 1533-position model. The record is from RNAcentral.